This 281-nucleotide ribosomal RNA is filed under the name uncultured bacterium. RNAcentral's name for it is "partial 16S ribosomal RNA". It matches the Rfam family "Bacterial small subunit ribosomal RNA", at positions 505 to 784 of the family's 1533-position model. The record is from RNAcentral.
GUGCCAGCAGCCGCGGUAAUACGUAGGAGGCGAGCGUUGUCCGGAUUUAUUGUGCGUAAAGAGCUCGUAGGCGGUUCAACAAGUCGGUCGUGAAAGUUCAGGGCUCAACCCUGAAAUGUCGAUCGAUACUGUUGUGACUAGGAUACGGUAGAGGUGAGUGGAAUUCCGAGUGUAGCGGUGAAAUGCGUAGAUAUUAGAAAGAAUACCAAUUGCGAAGGCAGCUUUCUGGAUCAUUACUGACGCUGAGGAACGAAAGCAUGGGUAGCGAACAGGAUUAGAUA